RNAcentral lists this non-coding RNA (45 nucleotides) under Schistosoma margrebowiei. The record is from RNAcentral. Lineage: Eukaryota; Metazoa; Platyhelminthes; Trematoda; Strigeidida; Schistosomatidae.
AUCCAGCUGACGAGUCCCAAAUAGGACAAGACGCGCAUCCUGAAU